RNAcentral lists this ribosomal RNA (253 nucleotides) under uncultured bacterium. RNAcentral's name for it is "partial 16S ribosomal RNA". It matches the Rfam family "Bacterial small subunit ribosomal RNA", at positions 524 to 776 of the family's 1533-position model. The record is from RNAcentral.
GACAGAGGAGCCAAGCGUUGUCCGGACUGGCUGGGCGUAAAGCGCACGCAGGCGGCGCUGCGCGUGGGGUGUGAAAGCUCUUGGCUUAACUGAGAGAGGCCAUCCCAUACGGCAGUGCUCGAGCGGUGCAGAGGUCCGCGGAAUUGCCGGUGUAGUGGUGAAAUGCGUAGAGAUCGGCAGGAACACCCAGGGGGAAACCAGCGGACUGGGCAUCAGCUGACGCUCAGGUGCGACAGCGUGGGGAGCGAACCGG